CACGUAGUCGGCUUGGUAAGUCAGAUGUGAAAGCCCGGGGCUUAACCCCGGAAGUGCAUUUGAUACUGCCAAGCUUGAGUAUGGGAGAGGGAAGUGGAAUUCCUGGUGUAGAGGUGAAAUUCGUAGAUAUCAGGAGGAACACCGGUGGCGAAGGCGACUUCCUGGACCAAUACUGACGCUGAGGUGCGAAGGCGUGGGUAGCAAACAGGAUUAGAUACCCUGGUAGUCC
Molecule: ribosomal RNA, 229 nt
Filed under: uncultured bacterium
Lineage: Bacteria
Description: partial 16S ribosomal RNA
Rfam family: Bacterial small subunit ribosomal RNA
Source: RNAcentral